UACAGAGGGUGCGAGCGUUGUCCGGAAUCACUGGGCGUAAAGGGCGCGUAGGUGGUGACCUAAGCGUGCGGUGAAAGCCCGAGGCUCAACCUCGGGUCGGCCGUGCGAACUGGGUCACUGGAGCAGAAUAGAGGCAGGUGGAAUUCCGGGUGUAGCGGUGGAAUGCGUAGAGAUCGGGAAGAACAUCAGUGGCGAAGGCGGCCUGCUGGGCUGUUGCUGACGCUGAGGCGCGACAGCGUGGGGAGCAAACAGG
RNAcentral lists this ribosomal RNA (253 nucleotides) under uncultured bacterium. Its description in RNAcentral is "partial 16S ribosomal RNA". It matches the Rfam family "Bacterial small subunit ribosomal RNA", at positions 524 to 776 of the family's 1533-position model. The record is from RNAcentral.